Molecule: long non-coding RNA, 584 nt
Filed under: Zea mays
Lineage: Eukaryota; Viridiplantae; Streptophyta; Magnoliopsida; Poales; Poaceae
Description: long non-coding RNA (ZMAY_LNC002738)
Source: RNAcentral
AAAGCUGGUCAAUAUGUAUCUUCACUAAGACAAGUGCCAAAGGAGUACUCAUCAACUCUCUCCUGCCUGCAAGACCAGGUUCACUAUUAGUGUCUACCUGAAUGACAUUGUAUAGAUAUAUGACAUUACUUGUUAUUUACUAUAAUUUUUUUUCUAAAAACUCAGGCAACUCCAUCCAAGUUUCAAGAUAUUAAAGCAGUAAUAGAGCAGAACUUUGGCAAGGAAUUGUAUGACAUGUAAGUAUGUGAAUGUUUAUCCUUUUUGGAUUGGCUAUUUAUUACUGGUACCUGUGGCCGGAAUGGAUUUUUUGUAGUUUGGCUAUUGUGUCUGCACAUACUGGUAGUUCUGUAAUCCAUCUUGUACCUUUCAUUCAGCUGCUUGUGUUGAAUGUUCUUUCCAGCUUGUUCCUUGUGUACUUCCGCAAUUCCCUUCCGGCAUUCUUAAUGAAUCAUUUGCCUGUUUUUACAUUAAUUCAAAAUUCCGGGGUAGUAGAAAGAACUUUCUCAUCAUGUCUAUGCCAUUGACAUCUGUCAAGGACCUGGAAUCCCCGACUUGCCGGACCACGGCUACGUAGCUCGUAGCCG